UGCGUAGGCGGAAAUUUAAGUCAGUGAUGAAAUCCUGCGGCUCAACUGUAGAACUGUCAUUGAUACUGAAUUUCUUGAAUACAGUUGAGGUUGGCGGAAUGUGUAAUGUAGCGGUGAAAUGCUUAGAUAUUACACAGAACACCGAUUGCGAAGGCAGCUAACUAAACUGAUAUUGACGCUGAGGCACGAAAGCGUGGGGAGCGAACAGGAUUAGAUACCCUGGUAGUCC
This 229-nucleotide ribosomal RNA is filed under the name uncultured bacterium. Its description in RNAcentral is "partial 16S ribosomal RNA". It matches the Rfam family "Bacterial small subunit ribosomal RNA", at positions 568 to 796 of the family's 1533-position model. The record is from RNAcentral.